This 305-nucleotide ribosomal RNA is filed under the name uncultured bacterium. Its description in RNAcentral is "bacterial SSU rRNA". It matches the Rfam family "Bacterial small subunit ribosomal RNA", at positions 334 to 656 of the family's 1533-position model. The record is from RNAcentral.
GUGUCCUACGGGAGGCAGCAGUCGGGAAUAUUGCGCAAUGGAGGAAACUCUGACGCAGCGACGCCGCGUAUAGGAAGAAGGAUUUCGGAUUGUAAACUAUUGUCGUGAGGGAAGAAAUUGACAGUACCUCAGGAGGAAGCUCCGGCUAACUAUGUGCCAGCAGCCGCGGUAAUACAUAGGGAGCAAGCGUUAUCCGGAUUUAUUGGGUGUAAAGGGAGCGUAGACGGGAAAUUAAGUUAGUUGUAAAAUCCCUCGGCUUAACUGAGGAACUGCAACUAAAACUGAUAUUCUUGAGUACUGGAGAG